CGAGGAAAACUGAAAACUUCGGCA
This 24-nucleotide microRNA is filed under the name Medicago truncatula (barrel medic). RNAcentral's name for it is "mtr-miR5289b". The record is from miRBase by way of RNAcentral. Lineage: Eukaryota; Viridiplantae; Streptophyta; Magnoliopsida; Fabales; Fabaceae.